Oncorhynchus keta (chum salmon) is the source of this 454-nucleotide long non-coding RNA. RefSeq lists it as uncharacterized. The transcript is spliced from 5 exons. NCBI's taxonomy places the organism in Eukaryota, Metazoa, Chordata, Actinopteri, Salmoniformes, Salmonidae. The record is from RefSeq and is a predicted model, not a curated record.
UCAGCCCCAGGACCAGCUGGAUGAGGGGACUGAGGCUUCAGUGUGUUAGUAGAACAGGUUAGUGAACUCAGGACCAGCUGGAUGAGGGGACUGAGGCUUCAGUGUGUUAGUAGAACAGGUUAGUGAACUCAGGACCAGCUGGAUGAGGGGACUGAGGCUUCAGUGUGUUAGUAGAACAGGUUAGUGAACUCAGGACCAGCUGGAUGAGGGGACUGAGGCUUCAGUGUGUUAGUAGAACAGGUUUGUGAACUCAGGACCAGCUGGAUGAGGGGACUGAGGCUUCAGUGUGUUAGUAGAACAGGUUUGUGAACUCAGGACCAGCUGGAUGAGGGGACUGAGGCUUCAGUGUGUUAGUAGAACAGGUUAGUGAACUCAGGACCAGCUGGAUGAGGGGACUGAGGCUUCAGUGUGUUAGUAGAACAGGUUAGUGAACUCAGCCCCAGGACCAGCUGGA